RNAcentral lists this ribosomal RNA (460 nucleotides) under uncultured bacterium. Its description in RNAcentral is "partial 16S ribosomal RNA". It matches the Rfam family "Bacterial small subunit ribosomal RNA", at positions 338 to 795 of the family's 1533-position model. The record is from RNAcentral.
CCUACGGGAGGCAGCAGUGAGGAAUAUUGGUCAAUGGGCGGGAGCCUGAACCAGCCAAGUCGCGUGAGGGAAGACGGUCCUAUGGAUUGUAAACCUCUUUAGGCGGGGAGCAAUGCCGGGCACGCGUGCCCGGAGGGAGAGUACCCGCAGAAUAAGCCUCGGCUAACUCCGUGCCAGCAGCCGCGGUAAUACGGAGGAUGCGAGCGUUAUCCGGAUUUAGUGGGUUUAAAGGGUGCGUAGGCGGCCUUUUAAGUCAGCGGUAAAAUGUCCGGGCUCAACCCGGGCCGGCCGUUGAAACUGGGGAUCUUGAGUGGGCGAGAGGCAUGCGGAAUGCGUGGUGUAGCGGUGAAAUGCAUAGAUAUCACGAAGAACUCCGAUUGCGAAGGCAGCAUACCGGCGCCCGACUGACGCUGAGGCACGAAAGCGUGGGGAUCGAACAGGAUUAGAUACCCGGGUAGUC